ACAUGCAAGUCGAGCGGAAACGAUCCUAGCUUGCUAGGAGGCGUCGAGCGGCGGACGGGUGAGUAAUGCAUAGGAAUCUGCCCGGUAGUGGGGGAUAACUUGAGGAAACUCAAGCUAAUACCGCAUACGCCCCAAGGGGGAAAGCAGGGGAUCUUCGGACCUUGCGCUAUCGGAUGAGCCUAUGUCGGAUUAGCUAGUUGGUGAGGUAAUGGCUCACCAAGGCCGCGAUCCGUAGCUGGUCUGAGAGGAUGAUCAGCCACAUCGGGACUGAGACACGGCCCGAACUCCUACGGGAGGCAGCAGUGGGGAAUAUUGGACAAUGGGCGAAAGCCUGAUCCAGCCAUGCCGCGUGUGUGAAGAAGGCCCUCGGGUUGUAAAGCACUUUCAGCGAGGAAGAACGCCUGUGGGUUAAUACCCCGCAGGAAGGACAUCACUCGCAGAAGAAGCACCGGCUAACUCCGUGCCAGCAGCCGCGGUAAUACGGAGGGUGCAAGCGUUAAUCGGAAUUACUGGGCGUAAAGCGCGCGUAGGCGGCUUGAUAAGCCGGUUGUGAAAGCCCCGGGCUCAACCUGGGAACGGCAUCCGGAACUGUCAGGCUAGAGUGCAGGAGAGGAAGGUAGAAUUCCCGGUGUAGCGGUGAAAUGCGUAGAGAUCGGGAGGAAUACCAGUGGCGAAGGCGGCCUUCUGGACUGACACUGACGCUGAGGUGCGAAAGCGUGGGUAGCAAACAGGAUUAGAUACCCUGGUAGUCCACGCCGUAAACGAUGUCGACUAGCCGUUGGGGUCCUCGAGACCUUUGUGGCGCAGUUAACGCGAUAAGUCGACCGCCUGGGGAGUACGGCCGCAAGGUUAAAACUCAAAUGAAUUGACGGGGGCCCGCACAAGCGGUGGAGCAUGUGGUUUAAUUCGAUGCAACGCGAAGAACCUUACCUACUCUUGACAUCGAGCGAACUUUCCAGAGAUGGAUUGGUGCCUUCGGGAACGCUCAGACAGGUGCUGCAUGGCCGUCGUCAGCCCGGGUUGGGAAAUGUUG
Molecule: ribosomal RNA, 1033 nt
Filed under: Halomonas halophila
Lineage: Bacteria; Pseudomonadati; Pseudomonadota; Gammaproteobacteria; Oceanospirillales; Halomonadaceae
Description: bacterial SSU rRNA
Rfam family: Bacterial small subunit ribosomal RNA
Source: RNAcentral